Molecule: ribosomal RNA, 459 nt
Filed under: uncultured bacterium
Lineage: Bacteria
Description: partial 16S ribosomal RNA
Rfam family: Bacterial small subunit ribosomal RNA
Source: RNAcentral
CCUACGGGUGGCAGCAGUGAGGAAUAUUGGUCAAUGGGCGGGAGCCUGAACCAGCCAAGUCGCGUGAGGGACGACGGUCCUAUGGAUUGUAAACCUCUUUUGUCGGGGAACAAAGGCGCCCACGGGUGGGCGGAUGAGUGUACCCGAAGAAAAAGCAUCGGCUAACUCCGUGCCAGCCGCCGCGGUAAUACGGAGGAUGCGGGCGUUAUCCGGAUUUAUUGGUUUAAAAGGGUGCGUAGGCGGACAGUAAAGUAAGUGGUAAAAAUGCGGUGCUAAACGCCGCACAGCCGUUGAAACUGGCAGUCUUGAGUAGGGGAGAAGUAGGCGGAAUGCGUGGUGUAGCGGUGAAAUGCAUAGAUAUCACGCAGAACUCCGAUUGCGAAGGCAGCAUACCGGCGCCCGACUGACGCUGAGGCACGAAAGCGUGGGUAUCGAACAGGAUUAGAUACCCCGGUAGUC